GACGAACGCUGGCGGCGUGGAUUAGGCAUGCAAGUCGAACGGUAUCAUCCUUUCGGGGGUGAGAGAGUGGCGAACUGGUGAGUAACACGUAGGUUAUCUACCCUCAAGACGGGGACAACCCAGGGAAACUUGGGCUAAUACCGGAUGUGAGCAACUUUUAGUUGUUUGAAAGGUGGCGUAAGCUGUCGCUUGGGGAUGAGCCUGCGUCCUAUUAGUUAGUUGGUGAGGUAACGGCUCACCUAGGCAAUGAUAGGUAGGCGGCCUUAACGGGUGGUCGCCCACACUGGGAUUGAGAUACGGCCCAGACUCCUAACGGGAGGCAGCAGUCGAGAAUAGUCUACAAUGGUCGGAAGACUGAUAGUGCGACGCCGCGUGAACGAUGAAUCCCUUCGGGGUUAAAGUUCUUUUAUAUGUGAGCAGUGCUUCUUAUAUUAACAGUAUGGGGAAGAGAUAUUAGCAAUAUGAAUAAGCAACGGCUAACUCCGUGCCAGCAGCCGCGGUAA
This 503-nucleotide ribosomal RNA is filed under the name uncultured bacterium. RNAcentral describes it as "bacterial SSU rRNA". It matches the Rfam family "Bacterial small subunit ribosomal RNA", at positions 28 to 523 of the family's 1533-position model. The record is from RNAcentral.